RNAcentral lists this ribosomal RNA (679 nucleotides) under uncultured bacterium. RNAcentral describes it as "bacterial SSU rRNA". It matches the Rfam family "Bacterial small subunit ribosomal RNA", at positions 8 to 692 of the family's 1533-position model. The record is from RNAcentral.
AGAGUUUGAUCCUGGCUCAGGAUAAACGCUGGCGGCGUGCCUAAUACAUGCAAGUCGAACGAGAGAGACAAGCUUGCUUGUCGAACUUAGUGGCGAACGGGUGAGUAAUACAUAAGCAACUGCCCAUAAAGUCCGGGAUAACUUUGGGAAACUGGAAUUAAUACCGGAUAGGUAACGGAGCGCAUGUUUCUGUUAUUAAAGGUGAGAAACGCUAAUGGAUGGGCUUAUGGCGCAUUAGCUGUUGGUAAGGUAACGGCUUACCAAGGCGAUGAUGCGUAGCCGGCCUGAGAGGGUGAACGGCACAUUGGGACUGAGACACGGCCCAGACUCCUACGGGAGGCAGCAGUAGGGAAUUUUCGGAAUGGGCGAAAGCCUGACCGAGCAACGCCGCGUGAGUGCUAAGGAUUUCGGUCUGUAAAGUCUGUUGUAAGGGAAGAAUUGAUCAGAGAGGAUCUGAUAGUGACGGUACCUUACCAGAAACCACGGCUAACUACGUGCCAGCAGCCGCGGUAAUACGUAGGUGGCGAGCGUUAUCCGGAAUAUUGGGCGUAAAGGGUGCGUAGGCGGCACAAUAAGUUUAAGGUGAAAGCGUGGGGCUCACCCCAUAAAGCCUUAGAUACUGUUGAGCUAGAGUACUGGAGAGGGAAGUGGAAAUUCCAUUGUAGCGGUAAAAUGCGUA